This 427-nucleotide ribosomal RNA is filed under the name uncultured bacterium. RNAcentral describes it as "partial 16S ribosomal RNA". It matches the Rfam family "Bacterial small subunit ribosomal RNA", at positions 355 to 774 of the family's 1533-position model. The record is from RNAcentral.
UGGGGAAUAUUGGACAAUGGGCGAAAGCCUGAUCCAGCCAUGCCGCGUGUGUGAAGAAGGUCUUCGGAUUGUAAAGCACUUUAAGUUGGGAGGAAGGGCAUUAACCUAAUACGUUAGUGUUUUGACGUUACCGACAGAAUAAGCACCGGCUAACUCUGUGCCAGCAGCCGCGGUAAUACAGAGGGUGCAAGCGUUAAUCGGAAUUACUGGGCGUAAAGCGCGCGUAGGUGGUUUGUUAAGAUGGAUGUGAAAUCCCCGGGCUCAACCUGGGAACUGCAUUCAAAACUGACUGACUAGAGUAUGGUAGAGGGUGGUGGAAUUUCCUGUGUAGCGGUGAAAUGCGUAGAUAUAGGAAGGAACACCAGUGGGGAAGGCGACCACCUGGACUAAUACUGACACUGAGGUGCGAAAGCGUGGGGAGCAAACA